Long non-coding RNA from Carassius auratus (goldfish), 230 nucleotides. RefSeq lists it as uncharacterized. The transcript has 2 exons. The record is from RefSeq and is a predicted model, not a curated record. Lineage: Eukaryota; Metazoa; Chordata; Actinopteri; Cypriniformes; Cyprinidae.
CCGGAAAUCAGAGACCUGCGAUUAGAGAUUGAUGACCGUGAUGCGGGGGAGCCAAAGAAACAGAUGGUUAACCCCAGAGUCCUGGGACCAUGGACUAAAAGAUCCCCAUGAGAUGCAGCAUACAUCAAGAAGCCUCAAUGGAGAGAGAGAAAUCUUUCCAGAAUUGGCCGUAUAUUGUGAGCCUAGCUGGAGCUGGAGCUACUGAAUUAUAACCUGCAUUAAAAAAAAAA